Molecule: ribosomal RNA, 521 nt
Filed under: uncultured bacterium
Lineage: Bacteria
Description: bacterial SSU rRNA
Rfam family: Archaeal small subunit ribosomal RNA
Source: RNAcentral
AACCUCCGCAAUGUGAGAAAUCGCGACGGGGGGAUCCCAAGUGCCAUUCUUAACGGGAUGGCUUUUCAUUAGUGUAAAGAGCUUUUGGAAUAAGAGCUGGGCAAGACCGGUGCCAGCCGCCGCGGUAACACCGGCAGCUCUAGUGGUAGCAGUUUUUAUUGGGCCUAAAGCGUCCGUAGCCGGUUUAAUAAGUCUCUGGUGAAAUCCUGUAGCUUAACUGUGGGAAUUGCUGGAGAUACUAUUAGACUUGAGACCGGGAGAGGUUAGAGGUACUCCCAGGGUAGAGGUGAAAUUCUGUAAUCCUGGGAGGACCGCCUGUUGCGAAGGCGUCUAACUGGAACGGUUCUGACGGUGAGGGACGAAAGUUAGGGGCGCGAACCGGAUUAGAUACCCGGGUAGUCCUAACCGUAAACGAUGCGGACUUGGUGUUGGGGUGGCUUUGAGCUGCUCCAGUGCCGAAGGGAAGCUGUUAAGUCCGCCGCCUGGGAAGUACGGUCGCAAGACUGAAACUUAAAGGAAGU